AGCAUAUCAAUAAGCGGAGGAAAAGAAACCAACAGGGAUUGCCUCAGUAACGGCGAGUGAAGCGGCAAAAGCUCAAAUUUGAAAUCUGGCUCUUUUAGGGUCCGAGUUGUAAUUUGUAGAAGAUGUUUCGGGUGUGGCUCCGGUUUAAGUUCUUUGGAAUAUUACAUCAUAGAGGGUGAGAAUCCCGUAUGUGACCGGCAGCCUUCGCCUAUGUGAAACUCUUUCGACGAGUCGAGUUGUUUGGGAAUGCAGCUCAAAAUGGGAGGUAUAUUUCUUCUAAAGCUAAAUAUUGGCCAGAGACCGAUAGCGCACAAGUAGAGUGAUCGAAAGAUGAAAAGCACUUUGGAAAGAGAGUUAAACAGUACGUGAAAUUGUUGAAAGGGAAGCGCUUGCAACCAGACUUGCACGCAGUUGAUCAUCCGGUGUUCUCACCGGGGCACUCUGCUGCGUUCAGGCCAGCAUCGGUUUUGGUGGUUGGAUAAAGGCCUUGGGAAUGUGGCUUCCUUCGGGGAGUGUUAUAGCCCUCGGUGCAAUGCAGCCUACCGGGACCGAGGACCGCGCUUCGGCUAGGAUGCUGGCGUAAUGGUUGUAAGCGACCCG
This 600-nucleotide ribosomal RNA is filed under the name uncultured fungus. RNAcentral describes it as "eukaryotic LSU rRNA". It matches the Rfam family "Eukaryotic large subunit ribosomal RNA", at positions 37 to 651 of the family's 3401-position model. Lineage: Eukaryota; Fungi. The record is from RNAcentral.